GCAUCAAGAAGUUGUUGACAAAAUUUAGUUCAGCUGCUAUAGACCAAGUGAUUGCGAUGAAUAUGGUAUUUGUCCAACAGGUUGGCGAUGCGAACAAUCAACUAAUUUCUGUCGUUGUUAAUUUUUUUGAAUGGCUCUAUCAAAAUGUAGCAGAAUGAAAUAAAUACUGAGCUAUUA
This is a long non-coding RNA of Mytilus trossulus (common blue mussel), 177 nucleotides long. RefSeq lists it as uncharacterized. The record is from RefSeq and is a predicted model, not a curated record. The transcript has 2 exons. Lineage: Eukaryota; Metazoa; Mollusca; Bivalvia; Mytilida; Mytilidae.